AUUGAACGCUGGCGGAAUGCUUUACACAUGCAAGUCGAACGGCAGCACGGGUGCUUGCACCUGGUGGCGAGUGGCGAACGGGUGAGUGAUACAUCGGAACGUACCCUGACGUGGGGGAUAACGUAGCGAAAGUUACGCUAAUACCGCGUACGUCCUGAGGGAGAAAGCAGGGGAUCGUAAGACCUUGCGCGUUAGGAGCGGCCGAUGGCGGAUUAGCUAGUUGGGAGGGUAAAGGCCUACCAAGGCGACGAUCCGUAGCGGGUCUGAGAGGACGGCCCGCCACACUGGAACUGAGACACGGUCCAGACUCCUACGGGAGGCAGCAGUGGGGAAUUUUGGACAAUGGGCGAAAGCCUGAUCCAGCCAUUCCGCGUGAGUGAAGAAGGCCUUCGGGUUGUAAAGCUCUUUCGGCAGGGAAGAAACGGUUUUGGAUAAUACCCAGAACUAAUGACGGUACCUGAAGAAGAAGCACCGGCUAACUACGUGCCAGCAGCCGCAGUAA
RNAcentral lists this ribosomal RNA (502 nucleotides) under uncultured bacterium. RNAcentral's name for it is "partial 16S ribosomal RNA". It matches the Rfam family "Bacterial small subunit ribosomal RNA", at positions 29 to 523 of the family's 1533-position model. The record is from RNAcentral.